RNAcentral lists this transfer RNA (87 nucleotides) under Dentipellis sp. KUC8613. It matches the Rfam family "tRNA". Rfam says of the family: Transfer RNA (tRNA) molecules are approximately 80 nucleotides in length. Lineage: Eukaryota; Fungi; Basidiomycota; Agaricomycetes; Russulales; Hericiaceae. The record is from Rfam by way of RNAcentral.
GUCCUUGUAGAUUAGUGGUUAGAUCACCACGUUGUGGCUUCUGCUUGCAAACCCGUGGUAACCCAGGCUCGAAUCCUGGCAAGGACA